UAAUAUAGUAGAUCUCUAUUUAUUUGUAAAAGAUUGAUGUUUUGUGUUUUAGAAAAAAAUGUAUUUGGACUAUGAGUAGAAUUAUUGGUUAAGUUAUAACUGUUUAUUUAGCUGGUGGUUACUGGACAUCUUUUCCAGUCAUUAUUCUCAUCCAGAUCAGUUGCGAUUUUUUAGUUUACUAAGGCUUUGCUGUGAGUCUAUGUUCAAUGAUGCUAUCACCACAUAUGUUGUAUUACAAUUACUCUUUAUACAUACUGUGAAAAAUAGAAACAGUAUACAAGGAAACAUUUCCUUUUAUUAAUCCCUUAUAGAUAUUAUUGCUGAAGCUGUCUAUUGAUGUGGCAGUUUUAUUAGUUAGAAAAUUGUAAGAGUACAUCCCUAUAAAGAGUAGCUCUUUGGAAUCAUAAAUUGGAAAUAAAGCAAUCUCUCCCUUGCCGCUUUUUCAUUUUGAUAAAUUAUAUUGAUGAGAAGUAUGAUAAAACAAAGUUUUCACAGUGGAAGGUUCUACUUGUAUUUUUAAGACACAAAUAAAUUACCUUGGUUUACUAGUGUGCUGCUACUUUUUGAGAAGUCUAGAUUGAUCAUAGGAGGCAGAAUGGUGUAAUGGUUUGGAGUUUAAAAAAUUAAAUUUGCUCUUUGUCUUCAAAAUUUACUCUAUGACAUUGAGCAAGGUAAUCAGCCUUUGUGAGUGUCAAUUUUCUGGUUUGUAAGACCAAUAAAAUGUUUACUGCCUUGAGGGUUUUGAUAGGUUUUUGGAGUGAUGUAAUGACACAUGAUCCUUUCCAAGUAGCAUAACUCAACUAGCAUAAAAUUCAUAUAUUAGAUUAGAUGGCUAGGAUGAAACCUACAUUACCACACAAAACAAAUUUGACUUUUUCUUCAUUGAAGUUCACCCUAUUCUUUAAGUGGCUAUAUUGUUCCAAAUUCCCUAAAAUACUGCAAGUUGAAAUAAAUACUGCCAUUGCAGUAGACAGAUAGAAAAGUUAUAGAUUAUGUUACUAUAUCCAAAGUAGUCUUAAUAAGAGUAAGAUUAAUCAUUAUUAAUGAUUUCCAAUAAUAAUUGUUAUUAGGCAUUUUGGUGUUGGGAACUCUUGAAGUUGCCAAAAAGAAGAAAAUAGAUAAUACCUGAAAGUAUGUUCCCUAAAUUUUCCACAAUUUUUGUAUUACAGAAUUCAAUUUAGGAGUAGAACAUAUGAUAGGAGAAAAUAACCCACAUUUUUGGUGUUAUAUAAUUUAGCCCAGACAUCCAUAGUGAAAUAUUGAAGAUGAGUACAAAACAAUCAGGUAAAGAUGAAGAUGUCAAUAAUCCAAGAUGAAAGAACAGCAUCCUUACAGGAUUGGAGACCAGAAGAAGAGUAGUAUUUUUUGGAUAUAGAAAGUAGGAUAUAGGAGCCAUGGUGAGAGAGGAUAAUAGAAGUGAGGCUAUUAGAUGAUUUAUAUGUCAUCCAUACAGAGGGUUGUGGCCCAUCAAAAUUUUAGUUUAGAAAUAUCAUUGUUGUGGUAGCUUGGAAAGUGGAAUAAAAUCAGAAGUGUAGAGACUACCUUAGAGGCAGUUUUAGGAAACCAUCAAAGAGAUGAUGGAAAACCCAAAAUAUUGGAUUAAUGGAAAAACUGAGGAAGUGAAAUUAACUAGAACUUUAUGACUGAUGAAAGAAGAGGAAAGCCACUAGCCUCUGGAUUGCUGUCUUUUUAGUUAUGCCAGUCUGAGACUCAGAAGAGACAUCUUUGGUUGGGACAUCAUUUUAGAAAGUAUUGGUGGUCUUAAUGUUAAAAUAAUAACUUAGUUGUGUUUACUUAGUACAGUUUUGAACACUUUGUAAUACAUAGAGAAAAGACUACUCUGUUGAUCUGCAAUGAUUUUUAAGUUUUAACUAAAUAUUAAAAUAUUUUGAAAUACAUCAAUGUAAGAUUCUUUCCUUCUAUAAUAUUUACUUUUAUAUUGUCACUAUAUCUUUAUAUUAGUAUUGAGUUAACAUAGAUUUCUUUAAUCGUAUUAUUCCUGUCCCCUCAUCUGCAGCAUGUAAUCUUUAAAGUUAAUAUGUUCUCAUUCAAAAGAUAACAUAUUCUAGGAAGAAGGAUAAUUAUGGUUAUUCUGACCAUGGAGUACAUUAAAUGUGCGUACACUUUACAUUUUAUGGAUUAAUUUUCCAAUAUUUUAAAUUAAUUUUGUAGGCCAAAGAAUAGCUAUGAAAGUUUCAUUUAUGGUGUUUUGGAUUAGAGGAACAGGCUGGGAGAAUGUGUGUGCAGGGAAAGCUGGGGUUUGUUUUGUGUUUGUUUUAGUCAGUGUACAGAUUAUAUAAUAACUUACUUGCUUGAACAAAUUUUCUGAAAAGGACUAUAUUAUUAACAAUGUGAAAUCUGACUCUUAUCUUUACAACACAUUUGGAAAACACCUACUUUCUGAACUAAAUUCGUAUGCUUUUAAAUUCCAUUAAGGAAUACAUUUGCAGGUUUCUCUCCAGGGUAUUACUGAGUUGUAUUUAUUAUGAUGAUCAGAAUAUAUAGCAAUUAAAAAUCUAACCAUCUGUGAUAAACCAUUUGAGAAAUCCAAGACUCUAAAAAAGAUAAAUACCUUUUGACAUAUUAAACUUUUGACACAUGUAUAGGAACCACAUACAACUAUACAAAAAAUUUUUUUAAUUAUUUUAUACAGUUUUAGGAUAAACAGGACAAAUUUAUCUUACUAAGUUAAGACAAACAUAGUACUAUUAAACACUGUCCUUAAAAAAAAGGACGCAAGAUCUGUGUCCAUUUGUUUAUUUACUAUUUUUAUUUUAUAAUUAUUUAAAAAUUAAUUUUUGGCUAGGUAUGGUGGCACAUGGCUGUAAUCCCAACACUUUGUGAGGCUGAGGCUGGAGGAUCUUUUAACCCCAGGAGUUAGAGACCAACCUGGGCAACAUGAAGACCCAGGCACCAGUAUUCUUUUAUGUACUCAGCCUUCAUUUUUCUCAUAUGGAUGGACAGCUUAUUACUUCAAGCAAUUACAACUCUGCCUGAUAAAUUCCUAUGCUGGCAAGAAUGUGAGAAGAGGCUAGAAGUAUGGGGAAUUAAGUACUCCUCAUCUCCUACCCUGACUCACCUUCCUCAACCACAGUCAUCAAAGAGUGAUUAAUGGAGCUUUGGUAAAUAAAGUACUCAAUCUGUGAAGUGUGUUCUCACAGUGUCCCACACCUCCCCGAGGGGCUCACCUGCCCACAGCAGUGCUCUCUGCUCUUCAGUCCACCUAGAUACUCUCUUCUCUUUGAUCUUGAAGCCUCCUUAUCCUGACCCAUCAUUCUUGGAACCACUAACCUAUAAAGUAAUUGCAAAUCAGACUCCUGUUUCAGGGUCUGUUUCUGAGGAUCCUCAACUUCAGACACUGUAAAUUUUUUUCAUGGUAAUGGUAAGGAAAAUGCAUUAUUUUAUCUGAAAUAUUCAUUUUGUAAUCUUUUCAUUAAUUAUCCAAUUGUUGAACAGAAAAAAAUUGCUUAUUACUUUAAAAAAUGCACACACAUAUUAAUAUCUGUUUAGAAUCAUAGAUUUCUGGCAAGUCAGCGUAUCCAUAAUGUAAACAGAUUUUUCUAACAAAAAAAAAUAGCUUUAGAGUUUCCCUCAACCUUAUUCAUCCUUAUAUUUCAUACAUUUUAAUACAACUUUUUUGUUAUCUGGCUCCCAAGCCCACUGCAACUAGGAGCUUCAAAUUAGAAUUGAAGAGAAAGUGUGCUAGUGCUAAAAAGACAAAAAAAAAUCAAAUGCAAAAAAAUUCAGGAAACAAAUCAUUUUACAACCCCAUCAUCUAGAACAAAGCUGAUACAUCUAGUUCGGCCUAUACAUAAAUAAAUUAAUAUUCAUAAUUUUGAUUCUAGAAUAUUAAGAAAAUCUUCAGUGAUGUUUAGAAUUAUUUUUUUAAGAAAUUUAAAAUGUUUAAUAUUUUUAAUGGCAAAUAAAAAUGUAUUGCUCCAACAACCCAUGCUCACCCCCAAAAAAUCACAUGGCAGAACUCAUUUUAAAAAUGCAAAUAUCUAAGAGAAACAUAAUCUAAACUGAAAUUUUGACAGUUGGACUUUACAAAAUGAAUGUUUUCUUUAUUCAUGUAUAAAAAUGGAUGCGUAAAGGAAUCCACAUAGGAAAGUAAAUAGUUACAUAUCUUUAGAAAGUAAGUCAUUUCAAAUUGUUAAAACAUUGAAAUGAGAAAAUAUGUUUUGUCUGAAAUAAUGGUUUUUUUCUAAUUUAUAGAACAAAUUGUUGCCUUUACUAAAAGCUCAAAAGAUCAAAGGAAGAUAAGUAGGGAUUUUAAAAUUUCUCACUAAAAUAUAUAUAUAUAAUAUGCAAAUUAAGAAGAAAGUUUAUCUAAGAAAAGGUUUAUAAAUAGAGCAAACAAUAAAGAGAUAAUUUGCAAAUUAACCAUAUUUUUAUUUCUUACAUCAUGUUAUAUACAUGCUGGAUCAACCUGUCAGUGGCAUUCAAAACAAAAUUGUGGAAACAUGUUAUUAAAAUAAGUAUUAAAUAUACUGAGUUCUAAUCUACAACUAUGCCCAGAAACAAUAAAAUGAGUCUAGUAUAGAAAAUUGUUCCUUUUUAUGCUCAAUAUUUUCAUGUUUAAUAAUAAACAUAUAUUAUUUUUCUCAUGUUUGAUGUCUUUUAAUAUAAUUCAGUAACUAAAUUCUCUUUCAAAUCCUGUAGGUUUUUGCAGAUACAUUUGGGAAAUCAUUUACCAUAGUUUCUGAAUCCUUACAGUGACUUUGGAGCAAUACUGUUUUAAUUAUCCAUAAAAUUUUUUAUUAUUUUGCCUAAAAUAGAAACACCACAAGAGGAUGUGAUGCUUUAGCUGUUUGUUCUGAACAUAUUUUGGAAAAAGAAGACAAUGAUUAUGUGUUUACACAUACAGAUGUCAGUUUAUAUAUUUCAGAUUUAGUUGAAAUUAAGUGCAUAUGUGAACAGAUUUUAAAUUUGUUUCCACACUUUCUCUUCUGAUACAUUCAUGUGAAAGUAUGAUAGCUUUCAUUGCCAUGUAUAUUUUUAAUAUAGUGAACUUUUUCAAACUAUUUGAUUAUCAUUCCAUUAGCCUUCAAAACCAGAAUCUUACUUUGUCUCCUGUAAAAUAAAGGAAUUUGUUCUAGGGCCUCUGUGAUUUCUUUUAAUGCGGUGAUUCAGAGUGUCCAGAUCACAAUAAGCUCCUUGAACCUGAGCACCAACUAUCUAUUGGUGAUGCCCUUACCUGUCACUUGGACUCUUUUCUUCUUCAUUCCAAUCCUUUGUGGUUAGUGAACUGUUUCACAUAUGGAGUCCUUCUUAAUACAUAAAAGAGACCCAAAGUUUUUAUUUCUUGAUUUAUAUAUGUCUCAUGUUCAUAUCUAAGUAUAAACUCCCAGAAGCAGAAACUAAUUUAGUAUUCUCCCUUUUUUGGAGGAUUAGUAUUCUCUCUUGUUCCUAGCACAAUACUUUGUGGAGAGCAGACUAUUAGCACAUAUGAUGAAUAUGUAUGUAUUAAUUGAUUUAAUUGCUUGGUUGAUAAUUAUGUGUUGCAGCUAAUAAGUUUCUUCCUUUCAAACUCUUCAGUAACAAUCCAAAUAUAUGAACUGGGCAAAUCUGAAAUUUAUUUGUUUUAAAGGCUAUCAUUAUGGCAUAAUUUUUAUUUUUUUCAUUGAACCUUGCUAAAAAAUCGACCUAGAAUAGUCCUCUAAUGUUAACUGUUUCCUCAGAGAUUUCUUAUACAAAUUAUGUAUAGAUGCAUAGCAAUACUGCUUGCUUUAAAUAACUGAAUUUUGUUUUGUUUUUUGGGUUUUUGUUUUUUUACAGCUGUGAAUUUUUUUUAAUCAGUGCAAACAAAAUAAGAUAAUAUUUAUAAUAAGAAAUGCUUUAAUAAAGUUCCUGGUCCUUCAAGUACAGAAAGUGAAGAAUAAAAUUGUCCCUGUAUCCUGCAGGAAAAUUAUCUCUGUUGGUAGCCUGCAAGUAAUUUAGGAAAUACAUGCUCCACUAGUUGUAUGGUAGAGCUGGUUGCCUGGGAUAAGGUACAAUAUUUAAAAUUUGUUUAUGCUUCAAUCAUUUUUUAAAAAAUAUUCAUAAUUCAGAGAGCUGACAGCAGAGAAGGCACUGUUUAUCUGCAAUUAUGCAAUAUUUGAAUUAAAUGAUAAAUAACAAGAAAAAGUAAAGACUAUUUAUUUUUCAGCUCAGUGAUUCUCAAAUUUCAGUAUAGACAACAACCCCAUGGGGUUCAUAUUACCAAUUCCUUGGAAGUAUUCUAGGCCUACACAUUAGAAAUCUCUGUGUGUGGAUUCCAGGAAUAUGCAUUUUUAAAAGACUUCUGCUCAGUCUAAGCCAGUGAGGAUUCAAAACAAAUUUGAAACUUACUCUUGAAGUUCCCUUAGGAUAAGAUUGGUCAUGGUUCAAGGCAUAAAAUAGACAUGCAAUAGACACUUGAAAGGUUGAAGUCUAAAUAUGAUUAACCUGUAAAAUGUGUUGAAAUUCUAAAACUAUAACUUUUUCCACAUCACUUAAACAGUCUCAUUUUCUUUAACUAUUAAAAUAAGUUAUGACAGUUGUUCUUACGUAAAUAUUGUUUAAUGAAUUUUAGUUUCACAAUAUGGAUGGUGCAUACAGAUUUCUACUGAAAAUUAACAUAAUUUUCAGUAGAAAAGAAUGGCAGUGCUUUUUCUUACUUUUUUCAUUCACUGUCAAUUAUUCCUCGAUUAGACUCAUAAAUAAUUUAUAUAAAGUUCAAUCUCUCCAGUUAUCAUUAUCAUUAGCUCUUGAAUUAAAACUGCUUCUUCUAUAUAUUAACAUAAUAUAUGACCCAAGAAUUGUGAGUCAUAGCAACAUUUAUCAAAGUGAAAUUGCUAGCCAAAUAAUAAAUAUUUAGACAAAAUUUAAUGAACUAGCUUACUGCUAAUUCAUAUGUAUUUUGAAUACUUCCUGUAGGUCCACAUUUUCUUGAUCAUGAGUAAUUACACAUAAUUAUAUGUCUAUAGAGAAAAAACUUAAUCUUUAUUUUUAUGCUUCCUUGAAAUGUGUAUAUGGUCUCAAAAUCAUUAUAUUGCUGAUUUUUAAAUUUCUAUCUUCCAUUAUGCAAAAUAAAUGACCAAAAUAUCCAUAUGUAUAUAAUUCCUUUCUUUCUCUUCAAAUAAUUUAUGACUUUGGGUACAUCUCUUCACUUUUUGCUCUGAAACUAAAAGCAUAAUUGUUUUGAACUAGUUAUCUCUAAACCCAUCUCCAAUACCAUUUUGUAAAUUAAUGUCAGCCUACUGCAAUUGUGAAACAUCUGCCAACUUAGUUAUUUGUUCCUUUUUUCACUUAGUCAGCAGCUACUAGGUCCCAAGUACUAGAUUUAAAAAGUGGAUGACACAAGAGCUAAACUAAAUAGCAAAGUAUAUGUAAAGACAUUAAUUAUUUUACUGCAUACACCAAUAAUCAAGCCAAAAAAUAAAAACCAUUACUCUGCUCCAAGACUAAAAAAGCCAAUAAAUGAAAAUUUUCUUCAUAAUUUUUUCUUUAGAAAUGCAAAAUCCACUCAUUUAUUCAACAUACAUAUAGAAAGUUUUUAUCUUAUACCAGGUUCUGUGGUAGGCCAUCAAGAUACACAAAUAAGACAGUGACUGUCUAUAGGGAGUUCAAACCUAAUGAUAGGAACACAUGUACAUGAGAAAUUAAUACAUAUUUUAAUGUAAAAAAUAAAUAUAUCUCGAAUACUCCACUAAGGUAAUAUUAUACUUAUGAUGUUGAUUAAACUAUUUAUGAUUUAUAUGUUAUAGAUACAAAGUGACGCAACAUCCCAUCUAGCUGGGGACACAAACACAUGCACACAAUACACACAUGCUCACUUGUAAUACUUAAACAUAAAUAAUAAAGUGAGAGGAGAGGAAACUAAAUUUUUUGGUUUUGUAAUUUGUACAAAGCAUGAAUUAUGUGGUUUAUGUAAAUCACAUUUAAUCAAAACCAAUCAGUAAAUAUGAGCAAUAUUAGUAAUUAUUUUAUGAUGAGGAAAGUUAGAUUCAGAGAGACCAAGUACCUUCUGCAAAAACUAAUAUAAUCAUAGUUCAAACAUAAGUCUGACUUGUUGUCACAGAUGUGCUUUCCAUAAUUUUGCACUAUGUUAACAGUGUGAAUUAGAUUAAAAAUAAAAGAAAGAAAGCAGGUGACACAGUAAAACUUUCUGCAGGAUUUAAAUGAUGUGCUUUACAUGGGAUUUAAAGAAGUUGUAGUAGACAUGAAAGAAACAGAAUGUGAGUGAAAUUUGAUGGAUGAAUGUGAUUUGAUAUACGAGCUACCAUUGCAUAUGUAUAAUUAGUGCAGUUGUGGUAUUCUUUGAAGAUUGAGCAUAAUUACUAAAAUAGCCUUUUAUCUAUAGAAAGGACACUUAUCGGCUGAGAAAGAAUGAAUAUUUGGAAAGGAAUGAACAUGUGGAAAAUAAUGAAUAAAUCAAUUUUCCAUAACGUUGGAUUAUAAACAUUUCUGUGUGUAAGAUACAUAGAGCAAGUAUUAAAAAUGCAAAUUACCCAGACUUUCUGGAGUCCAACUCAUCAGCAUCUCUCCGAGUAAGACCCUGGAAUUUUUGUUUUAAUAAACACGAUAGAGGCUUUUGAUACAGGUGGUUUGAAAACUAUUGCUUGAGAAGCAUUAGCUCGAAAGGGAAUGAUAAUCGUAGUGAAAGACAGUAUAUGAAUGGAUGAUAGAUAGAUGAAAUCAUUGAUUUUGGACACAAAUUUGAGGGGAUAGCCAUAAAAUAUUGUGUUUUUUUAAAAUAAUGGGAUUUGCAAAGUAAUGUGUUUUAAAUGCUAAUGGAAGAUGACUAUACAAUCCUCUAUAUGAUGUUAAUAAGAACUAACUAAAAUAAAAUAGAGCUUUCUAUUGCUUUCCCAAGACAUAUGAAUUCUAUAAUAAUAAUAGCAGCUAAUAUUUAACUAGCCCAAAAUAUGAGUUAAAUACUAUUCAGCAUGUUACAUAGGUAAAUUACUGAAGAUAACAGCAAUCCAAUGAGUUAUAUCUCAUAAGUAUCUCACUGUUACAGAUUAGACAACUGAGAAGAAGUGGCUAGGUGAUUUGCCCCCAAAUGAUUGGAAAGUGGCAUGAUUACAGAGUCCAUGAACUUCAUUGAUAUAAGACAUACAGAAAUAUGUCCACAAAUAAUGGGAAAAUAAAUGUAAAUUCACUUAAGUGACUGGAAAAACCCAUAACCAGUGUCAACUGUCAAGUGAAUUAGAAAAACGGAAUGAAUAAUGACUGAGCAUAUAUAAUUCUGCUGAUGGUGUGGAUUUACUGAUACGUAUGUGACAUUUGUCCCACAAAUAAAUACGGAGAGGAGUGAACUUUUUAAAACACAUUAAAUAUAUCUUUGGGGAAUUUAUGACAAACUUUUCUUAAAAUAGGUUACUUGGAUUGUUCUACUUACACCCUUACAUAGCACCCAUCCUAACAGUACCAGUUUAGCAUACAAAUGACAAGACUUGCAGUAAAGCUACUCUUUUGAAAAAACAAAGGCAAAAGCAAAACACAAUGCUUACUGCAUUGUCAUAAGUAGACAUUUAAAUAAAACAUCAAAUUUAUUUAUUUAUUCAGAAUAAAUAAAAAGCUUAACGAAGAAACCACUUAACAUAUGAGUUGAAAACUUUAAAAUAUAUGUCAAUUGGGGUGCCCAAGGCUGUUAACCAUCAAAAGUUGAAAGUGUGCUGUUUACGUAAAUUAAUGGAAUUUUUAAAUAUGGUCAGGAAUAAUUAUAUAUCUGAGAGAUAAUAUGUUCAAUAAAAUGAACUAUGCAGAUGAAAUUGUGCUGUCUGGAAAGAUCUCAAAUAUAUAACUUACUAGAUAAGUAACUCUAAGCAUAAACUAGCUCUGUUUCAGUUUGCCUUUAUAUAAAAAGGAAUAUUACAACAUACCUGAUAUAGUUAUUCUUAAAACAAAAUGUGCUAAUGCAGGUCGGAGAGUUCUGAAUCAACAUAAGCUCGCCACACCUAUUUAGCUAUUUUCAUCAUCAUUAUCUCUGAAAACAUAAAUGAAAUAAUAUAGGCAAAACUUUUUUAAAUGAUAGUUCUUCAUCUUAUUAUUUAUAUAGUAAACCAUGUACAAUGUAAACUAUUAAAAGUGUAAAACCUCAAUAUAUAAAACUCCUAGAAGAAACAUAAACAAAAUCCUUCAUGACCUUGGGGUGGACAAAAGCUUCUUAAAUGGAAAAUCUAAGGCAUGAAACAUAAAAGAAAAUUUUGAUAAAUUGAAUUUCAUCAAAAGUAAAUACUUUUGCUCUUCACGGGUCAUCAGUAAGAAAAUGAAUAACAGAGUCAUAGAAUGGGAGAAAAUAUUCACUUCAUGCAUAACUGACAAAGAACUUGUAUUGAGAACUCUUAGAAGUCAACAAAGAGGCAAUCAACAAUAUAAAAAUAGUCAAACUCUUUAAGAAACAAUUCAUGAAAGAUCAUUAUGAAUAGCCAAAUGCACAUCAAAAAUCUUAACAUCAUCACUCAUCACAGAAAUGCAAAUUAAAACCAUGAUACCCUUACACACCCAUUAGACUGGCUAAAGUUAAAAAGACUGAUUGUUAUACUACUGACGGGAAUGUAAAAUGAUACUAGUACUUUUAAAAAUUGUUUGACAGCUUUUUUUAAAAAGUGAAAGUUAUACCUGUCAUAUAAUCUAGCCAGGAACAGCUAUGUUAUUGGUAGGACCCAUUGCACAAUGAAUGUAUAAAAUAUAAAAAAUUAAAUGUAAUAUACACAUAUAAUAAAUUUAUUUUCAAGUCUCUCAAGUAAUACCAUGUAUUGUCUCUUGUACUCUCAGUUUUGUUCUAAGAACAUAACAUUUUAUUUCAGUUGAAGAAAUAGUUGUUUUUUGUUCGGAAUCUAGAAAUUAAAUAAUGUCUGUAAUUUUAUUACAAACUCUCAUACUCUGUUUAAGGUGUGAUUUUGCAGAUCCAUGGCACAGGAACACGGAAAUCUUUAUUGCAUUUGUCAUAAGUUACUUCUAUCUUUAUAGCAAUACAAAGGAGCUCCUUAGCUCAGGGUUGAAUAAUUAAGAAUUACUAAAUCUGAAACUUGGAAUAGGAUGAAUGACAUGACACUUAACUUCAUGGAUAUUUGAGAUGCAUAUUUAAUUUCUAAAUAAAAAAGAAGAUGUAAAUUUCCUUAACAAGUGAAUUUAUCUCUGCUGGGAUCAUAUUCUCUGCUUUAUUCAUCAUUUUGUUUCUUUAUUAUCCCAUGAUUAUUUUUUAUGCCCGCUGCCACAUGCGUUAUGGGAAAAACAAAAUAAAUGAACACCAAACAAAAACACACAUUCACCGUCUCUUUAUUGGACUAAGGUUGAGUUUCAGUUACUAGCUAUCACUGACUAUAUUUCUAGGGAUUCAAUUCCUGUUCCUACUUGACGCUGCAUAAGUUAUCAACAUUCCUAAACAAGAAAUGAGCUCUACUUUUAUGAUGGCUCUCAAAAAUAUCAACUAUAGCUCUCCGUAUCUCUGUGUUUUUUCUUGCUUAGAAAUGCUUAGCUUUUCUGAGACCUAGGAUGUGCUGCUGCCUAGGUUUAUGGCUCACCCUAUCUGUCAUCCAAAAAA
This 11512-nucleotide long non-coding RNA is filed under the name Homo sapiens (human). RNAcentral describes it as "HSALNT0077997". The record is from RNAcentral. Lineage: Eukaryota; Metazoa; Chordata; Mammalia; Primates; Hominidae.